RNAcentral lists this long non-coding RNA (1595 nucleotides) under Homo sapiens (human). RNAcentral's name for it is "HSALNT0313111". The record is from RNAcentral. Lineage: Eukaryota; Metazoa; Chordata; Mammalia; Primates; Hominidae.
UAAAUGAGGAGAUAUUUUUGUCUCCUGGGCUUGACACAUACUUGGUGCUCAAUAAAUAUAGAAUAAGUGAAGAAAUGAGUCAUACUUAUACCCAGAAAGAGCUGUGUGUAUAUUUUAGAAAGACACUAGAAGCUCUUGGGAGCAUGUGGACAGUUGUGGCUGCUCCUGAGCUGACACUAACUGCUCAUGACUCCUCUGUGGGAGAAGUAGGUGGUUUCCUAGAGGAAGAAGUUUGGGUAAUGAAGCCACAGAGAUUUGCUGAUACAUUUGCUAGGCACGACUUCUGGUCAUUUAGAAAGCUAUUUUGUGGCUUCAUCAAUAAGGUAUUCCCCAGCUGUGUUACUCCUUCGCAUUGUUAUCUCUUUCCCUGGAAUUGAAGGCUUCCUGGUCUGAGGCAAGGACAAUUAUUCCCUCACUGUCAACCCUGAUCUCUGGCUGCAGUAAUGAGUAGAGGAAAUGAAGAAAUAAGAAUGGAAGCAUAAUCAUUUGUCCGAGGUCACAGAGGGAGAUGAUUACACAGCUGGAAUAAACUCUCCUCCUUCAAUACCUGACUACUUGCACCAUCCAGCAGAUAUCCUCUACUACCAAGUCUCAACAGAUGGUUCAGCUGGUCUUUAAUGAACAAAAGGCAUUUGUGUAAUGGACUCUUAUUGCUCAAGAAGAAUUUCUUCCUUCCUGAAACAUGAGGAGAAACUGACAAAAACUGUCUCCUUGACCAAACCCUAGUCAGUUGCCUAUAAGCCCUGUAGGCUGUGACCUUAGUGUCUAUCCUUAUCAGACACGCAUUACACAACCAUAGCAACAGUCUUGCUAAGUUGGUUUAACCAGAACCCCUACCCUUGAUAUCUGAUUUAAUUUAUAAUUCCCCUGAGUCCCCGAGGUGACAUCCAUUCAUCCUGGCCAGCUUUCAAUAAGAAUCCUAUUGGAUUAUUUAGCUAGAAAUCACCCCUUACACUUAAUGCUUCCUUUUAGUAAUUUUGCAUCCACUAACCCCGACCUUGCUCGUUGGCUAUAAAUCCACAAGUUGUCCGUGUUGUGUUUGGAAUUGAUUACAAUUCUAUAUUGAGGUCUCUUUUCCCAUAUUGCAAUAGUUCCUGAUUAAAAUCUGCUUUUGCCCAUUGAUAUGGUUUGGUUGUGUACCCACUCAAAUCUCAUCUUGAAUUGUAGCUCCCAUGAUUCCCAUAAUUGAAUCAUGGCAGCAGUUUACCCCAUACUGUUCUUGUGGUAGUGAAUAAGUCUCAUGAGAUCUGAUGGUUUUAUAAGGGGUUUCCACUUUCACUUGAUUCUGACUCUCUUUUGUUUGCCGCUAUGUAAGACAUGCCUUUCACCUUCUGCCAUAAUUGUGAAGCCUCCCCAGCCACAUGGAACUGUGAGUCCGUUAAACCUCAUUUUCUUUAUAUAUAAAUUACCCAGUCUCAGGUAUGUCUUUAUCAGCAGCAUGAAAAUGGACUAAUACACUCCUUUAACUGUGUAGCUCUGGUGUUCUUUGAUGAGCUAGAAACUGUAAAUCUCUGGAAGUCAAAUCUUCAUUUGAACUGGUUGUUAUAUAUUAUUGAUUCUCUCAAUUAUUUAGUUAAAUAAAAGUCUUGACAUGU